AGUGACGCGCAUGAAUGGAUUAA
RNAcentral lists this non-coding RNA (23 nucleotides) under Arabidopsis thaliana (thale cress). The record is from RNAcentral. RNAcentral also lists the same sequence under 4 other names. Lineage: Eukaryota; Viridiplantae; Streptophyta; Magnoliopsida; Brassicales; Brassicaceae.